AACGAACGCUGGCGGCGCGUCUUAAACAUGCAAGUCGAACGAUCUGUAGCAAUACAGGGAGUGGCGGACGGGGUGAGGAACACGUAGGAAUCUACCUUGAAGAGCGGGACAACUUUGGGAAACCGGGGCUAAUACCGCAUAGUACAGAGAUGUUAAAGGGCUAGCAAUAGUCGCUUCGAGAUGAGCCUGCGGUCUAUCAGCUUGUUGGUGAGGUAAUGGCUCACCAAGGCUACGACGGAUAGCCGGUCUGAGAGGAUGAUCGGCCACACUGGCACUGAGACACGGGCCAGACUCCUACGGGAGGCAGCAGUUAAGAAUCUUGCGCAAUGGGGGAAACCCUGACGCAGCGACGCCGCGUGAAGGAUGAAGGCUUUCGGGUUGUAAACUUCGGUAGACUGGGAAGAAGAAAUACGUUCGUUGAGGGCGUAUAGUGACGGUACCAGUACUGAAGCCCCGGCUAAUUACGUGCCAGCAGCCGCGGUAAU
Molecule: ribosomal RNA, 485 nt
Filed under: uncultured bacterium
Lineage: Bacteria
Description: bacterial SSU rRNA
Rfam family: Bacterial small subunit ribosomal RNA
Source: RNAcentral